Molecule: ribosomal RNA, 630 nt
Filed under: uncultured Gammaproteobacteria bacterium
Lineage: Bacteria; Pseudomonadati; Pseudomonadota; Gammaproteobacteria
Description: bacterial SSU rRNA
Rfam family: Bacterial small subunit ribosomal RNA
Source: RNAcentral
GGAGUACGGCCGCAAGGUUAAAACUCAGAGGAAAUUGACGGGGGCCCGCACAAGCGGUGGAAGCAUGUGGUUAAUUCGAUGCACCGCGAAGAGCCUUACCUACCCUUGACAUCCUAGGGAUUUUGUAGAGAUAUGAAGAGUGCCUUCGGGGACUUAGAGACAGGUGCCUGCAUGGCUGUCGUCAGCUCGUGUCGUGAGAUGUUGGGUUAAGUCCCGUAACGAGCGCAACCCUUGUCCUUAAUUGCUAGCAGGUAGAGCUGAGAACUUUAAGGAGACUGCCGGUGAUAAACCGGAGGAAGGUGGGGAUGACGUCAAGUCCUCAUGGCCCUUAUGGGUAGGGCUACACACGUGCUACAAUGGGCAGUACAGACGGUAGCGAAGCUGCGAAGUGGAGCUAAUCUGAAAAAGCUGUUCUUAGUCCGGAUUGGAGUCUGCAACUCGACUCCAUGAAGUUGGAAUCGCUAGUAAUCGCGGAUCAGAACGCCGCGGUGAAUACGUUCUCGGGCCUUGUACACACCGCCCGUCACACCAUGGGAGUGGGUUGUACCAGAAGUGGGUAGACUAACCUUCGGGGGGUCGCUUACCACGGUAUGAUUCAUGACUGGGGUGAAGUCGUAACAAGGUAGCCGU